Molecule: ribosomal RNA, 496 nt
Filed under: uncultured bacterium
Lineage: Bacteria
Description: partial 16S ribosomal RNA
Rfam family: Bacterial small subunit ribosomal RNA
Source: RNAcentral
GAUGAACGCUGGCGGCGUGCCUAAUACAUGCAAGUCGAGCGAACAGAUGAGGAGCUUGCUCCUCUGACGUUAGCGGCGGACGGGUGAGUAACACGUGGAUAACCUACCUAUAAGACUGGGAUAACUUCGGGAAACCGGAGCUAAUACCGGAUAAUAUAUUGAACCGCAUGGUUCAAUAGUGAAAGACGGUUUUGCUGUCACUUAUAGAUGGAUCCGCGCCGCAUUAGCUAGUUGGUAAGGUAACGGCUUACCAAGGCAACGAUGCGUAGCCGACCUGAGAGGGGGAUCGGCCAACAGGGAAAUGAGACACGGUCCAGACCCCCACGGGGGGCAGGAGGAGGGAAUCUUCCGAAAUGGGCGAAAGCCUGACGGAGCAACGCCGCGGGAGUGAGGAAGGUUUUCGGAUCGUAAAACUCUUUUAUUAGGGAAAAACAAAUGUGUAAGUAACUAUGCACGUCUUGACGGUACCUAAUCAGAAAGCCCCGGCAAACUACGU